Molecule: long non-coding RNA, 310 nt
Filed under: Malus domestica (apple)
Lineage: Eukaryota; Viridiplantae; Streptophyta; Magnoliopsida; Rosales; Rosaceae
Description: long non-coding RNA (MDOM_LNC019085)
Source: RNAcentral
UAAACCCUUCCAUACCAUUCCCCAUCCAUUCUACAUCAUAAAACUACCCAAAAUCUGUCCAUAACCCAAUAUGCCGCAAGCAAGGGAAAGGAGGAAUCUUGGAUGCACUUGCUACCAAGUUGGAGCAUUUUAGGUGUUUUCUUUCCUUUGAUUUUAAUGUCUAAUUUUAUGUAUCUUUUCUUUGUGAGUAUGAGGAACUAAACCCCUCUUAGUUAGGGGGUGAUUCGAAACUAUGUUCAUACUUGCAAUAUGAUUUGAUUACAUCCAGUUGUGAAUUCAAUUUACUUAUCCGUUCAUAUAAAAACUAAUU